This 341-nucleotide long non-coding RNA is filed under the name Trifolium pratense (red clover). RNAcentral's name for it is "long non-coding RNA (TPRA_LNC013908)". The record is from RNAcentral. Lineage: Eukaryota; Viridiplantae; Streptophyta; Magnoliopsida; Fabales; Fabaceae.
CAAACACAAACCUCAAAUUAGAGAAAUAAUAAUAACAAUAAUAACAAAUUAUCGGAGAUUUAAUUAAAAGUAGAUCGACGUACCUCUCCUGGAAGAGAUGGAAAAGUAAUUGUCGGAUGCGAAAGUGAUGAAAUUGGAAUCUUUAUGUGCCGCGAUCGGAGUGAAAAUUGGGAGUAGGUUUAGAUGGAUGGUGAAGCAAGUGUUUUAAUUUAGGGUUCAGAGUUCAAAGUGAGAGGAGAUGGGAGCUUCGGUCAUUAUUACUCGUUAACAAGCUGCUGCGAGAACAUGUGUGACUUAGGGUUGGAUAAAUGUUGGGUCAAUUGGCCCAUUUUGGCCCAAGC